RNAcentral lists this small RNA (92 nucleotides) under Kaistella chaponensis. RNAcentral describes it as "Chryseobacterium chaponense Flavo-1 RNA". It matches the Rfam family "Flavo-1 RNA". The record is from RNAcentral. Lineage: Bacteria; Pseudomonadati; Bacteroidota; Flavobacteriia; Flavobacteriales; Weeksellaceae.
CUCGUUCCUCGUUUUGCAGCGGCAUCCUUUUUUUUGCGAUGGCUUGAAAAAAGCGAAGGCGAAAAAAGAUACAGCGGAAAGCGGGAAAUAGC